UACGUAGGGAGCAAGCGUUGUCCGGAUUCACUGGGUUUAAAGGGUGCGCAGGCGGGAGAGUAAGUCAGAGGUGAAAUCUCACAGCUUAACUGUGAAACUGCCUUUGAUACUGCUUUUCUUGAGUUCGGGAGAGGUUGAUGGAAUUCCAGGUGUAGCGGUGAAAUGCGUAGAUAUCUGGAAGAACACCAGUGGCGAAGGCGGUCAACUGGCCCGUAACUGACGCUCAGGCACGAAAGCGUGGGUAGCGAACAGG
This 253-nucleotide ribosomal RNA is filed under the name uncultured bacterium. RNAcentral's name for it is "partial 16S ribosomal RNA". It matches the Rfam family "Bacterial small subunit ribosomal RNA", at positions 524 to 776 of the family's 1533-position model. The record is from RNAcentral.